RNAcentral lists this ribosomal RNA (253 nucleotides) under uncultured bacterium. RNAcentral describes it as "partial 16S ribosomal RNA". It matches the Rfam family "Bacterial small subunit ribosomal RNA", at positions 524 to 776 of the family's 1533-position model. The record is from RNAcentral.
UACGGAGGGGGCUAGCGUUGUUCGGAAUUACUGGGCGUAAAGCGCGCGUAGGCGGACCUGCAAGUCAGGGGUGAAAUCCCGGGGCUCAACCUCGGAACUGCCUUUGAUACAGCACGUCUCGAGUCCGGAAGAGGUGGGUGGAAUUCCUAGUGUAGAGGUGAAAUUCGUAGAUAUUAGGAAGAACACCGGUGGCGAAGGCGGCCCACUGGUCCGGUACUGACGCUGAGGUGCGAAAGCGUGGGGAGCAAACAGG